AGUGAACGCUGGCGGCGUGCCUAAUACAUGCAAGUCGAACGGAGUGGCGCACGGGUGAGUAAUGUAUAGCUAAUCUGCCCUACACUAGAGGACAACAGUUGGAAACGACGGCUAAUACUCUAUAGUGUAGGAUGAGGCUAUAUUGUAUCAGUUAGUUGGUGAGGUAAUGGCGCACCAAGGCUAUGACGCAUAACUGGUCAGAGAGGAUGAUCAGUCGCCCUUGAACUGAGACACGGUCCGGACUCCUACGGGAUGCAGCAGUAGGGAAUAGUGCUCAAUUGGGGAAACCCUGGAGCAGCAACGCCGCGUGGAGGAUGACACUUUGCGGAGCGUAAACUCCUUUUGUUAGGGACGCGGUACCUAACGAAUAAGCACCGGCUAACUCCGUGCCAGCAGCCGCGGUAAUUC
Molecule: ribosomal RNA, 408 nt
Filed under: uncultured bacterium
Lineage: Bacteria
Description: partial 16S ribosomal RNA
Rfam family: Bacterial small subunit ribosomal RNA
Source: RNAcentral